GGAAAGGUGGCCGAGUGGUUGAAGGCACUGGUCUUGAAAACCAGAGACCGAAAGGUCCGCAGGUUCGAAUCCUGUCCUUUCCGCCA
This 86-nucleotide transfer RNA is filed under the name Candidatus Saccharimonadota bacterium. Its description in RNAcentral is "tRNA-Ser". It matches the Rfam family "tRNA". Rfam says of the family: Transfer RNA (tRNA) molecules are approximately 80 nucleotides in length. Lineage: Bacteria; Candidatus Saccharimonadota. The record is from RNAcentral.